RNAcentral lists this long non-coding RNA (313 nucleotides) under Nicotiana tabacum (common tobacco). RNAcentral describes it as "long non-coding RNA (NTAB_LNC010498)". The record is from RNAcentral. Lineage: Eukaryota; Viridiplantae; Streptophyta; Magnoliopsida; Solanales; Solanaceae.
AUUUUUCUGUUAGCCAACAUUAGGGAUCCAACCCUGAACUGAGCAUUUUUCUGUUAGCCAGCAUUAGGGCUCCAACCCUGAACUGAGCAUUUUUUUCCAGUUAGCCAGCAUUAGGGCUCCAACCCUGAACUGAGCAUUUUUUCUGUUAGCCAGCAUUAGGGCUCCAACCCUGAACUGAGUAUUUUCCAUUUAGCCAACAUUAGGGCUCCAACCCUGAACUGAGCAUUUUUCUGUUAGCCAGCAUUAGGGCUCCAACCCUGAACUGAGCAUUUUUCUGUUAGCCAGCGUUAGGGCUCUAACCCCUGAACUGAGC